This 1346-nucleotide ribosomal RNA is filed under the name uncultured bacterium. Its description in RNAcentral is "partial 16S ribosomal RNA". It matches the Rfam family "Bacterial small subunit ribosomal RNA", at positions 28 to 1381 of the family's 1533-position model. The record is from RNAcentral.
GACGAACGUUGGCGGCGUGCUUAACACAUGCAAGUCGAACGGAAAGGCCCUGCUUUUGUGGGGUGCUCGAGUGGCGAACGGGUGAGUAACACGUGAGUAACCUGCCCUUGACUUUGGGAUAACUUCAGGAAACUGGGGCUAAUACCGGAUAGGAGCUCCUGCUGCAUGGUGGGGGUUGGAAAGUUUCGGCGGUUGGGGAUGGACUCGCGGCUUAUCAGCUUGUUGGUGGGGUAGUGGCUUACCAAGGCUUUGACGGGUAGCCGGCCUGAGAGGGUGACCGGCCACAUUGGGACUGAGAUACGGCCCAGACUCCUACGGGAGGCAGCAGUGGGGAAUAUUGCACAAUGGGCGGAAGCCUGAUGCAGCAACGCCGCGUGCGGGAUGACGGCCUUCGGGUUGUAAACCGCUUUCGCCUGUGACGAAGCGUGAGUGACGGUAAUGGGUAAAGAAGCACCGGCUAACUACGUGCCAGCAGCCGCGGUGAUACGUAGGGUGCGAGCGUUGUCCGGAUUUAUUGGGCGUAAAGGGCUCGUAGGUGGUUGAUCGCGUCGGAAGUGUAAUCUUGGGGCUUAACCCUGAGCGUGCUUUCGAUACGGGUUGACUUGAGGAAGGUAGGGGAGAAUGGAAUUCCUGGUGGAGCGGUGGAAUGCGCAGAUAUCAGGAGGAACACCAGUGGCGAAGGCGGUUCUCUGGGCCUUUCCUGACGCUGAGGAGCGAAAGCGUGGGGAGCGAACAGGCUUAGAUACCCUGGUAGUCCACGCUGUAAACGGUGGGUACUAGGUGUGGGGUCCAUUCCACGGGUUCCGUGCCGUAGCUAACGCUUUAAGUACCCCGCCUGGGGAGUACGGCCGCAAGGCUAAAACUCAAAGGAAUUGACGGGGCCCCGCACAAGCGGCGGAGCAUGCGGAUUAAUUCGAUGCAACGCGUAGAACCUUACCUGGGUUUGAUAUGGAUCGGGAGUGCUCAGAGAUGGGUGUGCCUCUUUUGGGGUCGGUUCACAGGUGGUGCAUGGCUGUCGUCAGCUCGUGUCGUGAGAUGUUGGGUUAAGUCCCGCAACGAGCGCAACCCUUGUUCACUGUUGCCAGCACGUUAUGGUGGGGACUCAGUGGAGACCGCCGGGGUCAACUCGGAGGAAGGUGGGGAUGACGUCAAGUCAUCAUGCCCCUUAUGUCCAGGGCUUCACGCAUGCUACAAUGGCUGGUACAGAGAGUGGCGAGCCUGUGAGGGUGAGCGAAUCUCGGAAAGCCGGUCUCAGUUCGGAUUGGGGUCUGCAACUCGACCUCAUGAAGUCGGAGUCGCUAGUAAUCGCAGAUCAGCAACGCUGCGGUGAAUACGUUCCCGGGGCU